Molecule: ribosomal RNA, 497 nt
Filed under: uncultured bacterium
Lineage: Bacteria
Description: partial 16S ribosomal RNA
Rfam family: Bacterial small subunit ribosomal RNA
Source: RNAcentral
GAUGAACGCUGGCGGCGUGCCUAAUACAUGCAAGUCGAGCGAACAGAUGAGGAGCUUGCUCCUCUGACGUUAGCGGCGGACGGGUGAGUAACACGUGGAUAACCUACCUAUAAGACUGGGAUAACUUCGGGAAACCGGAGCUAAUACCGGAUAAUAUAUUGAACCGCAUGGUUCAAUAGUGAAAGAUGGUUUUGCUGUCACUUAUAGAUGGAUCCGCGCCGCAUUAGCUAGUUGGUAAGGUAACGGCUUACCAAGGCGACGAUGCGUAGCCGACCUGAGAGGGUGAUCGGCCACACUGGAACUGAGACACGGUCCAGACUCCUACGGGAGGCAGCAGUAGGGAAUCUUCCGCAAUGGGCGAAAGCCUGACGGAGCAACGCCGCGUGAGUGAUGAAGGUCUUCGGAUCGUAAAACUCUGUUAUUAGGGAAGAACAAAUGUGUAAGUAACUAUGCACGUCUUGACGGUACCUAAUCAGAAAGCCACGGCUAACUACGUG